CUGAGUUAUCCAACUCCCAAACCCCUGUGAACAUACCUAUGUUGCUUCGGCGGGCCGUCCCGCGGCGCGCCCACGUGGCGUGACCCGGACCCAGGCGCCCGCCGGGGAACCAAACUCUUGUCUUCCAGUGUCUCCUCUGAGUGGCAUAAGCCAAAAUAAACA
Molecule: unclassified non-coding RNA, 162 nt
Filed under: soil metagenome
Description: partial internal transcribed spacer 1
Source: RNAcentral